RNAcentral lists this ribosomal RNA (467 nucleotides) under uncultured bacterium. RNAcentral's name for it is "partial 16S ribosomal RNA". It matches the Rfam family "Bacterial small subunit ribosomal RNA", at positions 28 to 507 of the family's 1533-position model. The record is from RNAcentral.
GACGAACGCUGGCGGCGUGCUUAACACAUGCAAGUCGAACGGAAAGGCCCCAGCUUGCUGGGGUACUCGAGUGGCGAACGGGUGAGUAACACGUGGGUGAUCUGCCUUGCACUCUGGGAUAAGCUUGGGAAACUGGGUCUAAUACCGGAUAUGAACUGCCUUUAGUGUGGUGGUUGGAAAGUUUUUUCGGUGCAAGAUGAGCUCGCGGCCUAUCAGCUUGUUGGUGGGGUAAUGGCCUACCAAGGCGUCGACGGGUAGCCGGCCUGAGAGGGUGUACGGCCACAUUGGGACUGAGAUACGGCCCAGACUCCUACGGGAGGCAGCAGUGGGGAAUAUUGCACAAUGGGCGGAAGCCUGAUGCAGCGACGCCGCGUGGGGGAUGACGGCCUUCGGGUUGUAAACUCCUUUCGACAGGGACGAAGCUUUUUGUGACGGUACCUGUAUAAGAAGCACCGGCUAACUACGUG